UCAGAUGGUUGGAUGAUCGCUCCUUUAUAGGAGAGGAAAGUCCGGGCUCCAUGAGACACAGUGCCGGGUAACACCCGGCGAGGGUAACCUCAGGGAAAGUGCCACAGAAAAUAAACCGCCAUUAUGGUAAGGGUGAAAAGGUGCGGUAAGAGCGCACCGCAAGUUUGGUAACAGGCUUGGCAAGGUAAACCCCACUGGGAGCAAGACCAAAUAGGAACUCGGUGUCUAAAUUUUAGCAAAGUCUAUCUCUGGACUUGAAGUUCGGGUAGGUCGCAUGAGACUUUUGGUAACAAAAGUCCUAGAUAAAUAGUCAUCACCCAAUAGGGUACAGAACCCGGCUUAUAGACCGUCUGGCAUA
Molecule: RNase P RNA, 358 nt
Filed under: Rhodobiaceae bacterium
Lineage: Bacteria; Pseudomonadati; Pseudomonadota; Alphaproteobacteria; Hyphomicrobiales; Rhodobiaceae
Description: RNase P RNA component class A
Rfam family: Bacterial RNase P class A
About the family: Ribonuclease P (RNase P) is a ubiquitous endoribonuclease, found in archaea, bacteria and eukarya as well as chloroplasts and mitochondria. Its best characterised activity is the generation of mature 5'-ends of tRNAs by cleaving the 5'-leader elements of precursor-tRNAs. Cellular RNase Ps are ribonucleoproteins.
Source: RNAcentral